GCAGCAUAUCUGGCAAGUAAGUCCAACACACAAGUAUCUAUAAUUGUGAUCUGGGCCGCUGUCACCAUACUCUCUAUAAAAUGUAUGACAUAGAUGGCACAAUCAGGCCUAUAAAAUAUUUCAUGCUCAUAGUCAAUAAAACAAACAAAUGACAUACUAGAUUAGUUGGCACAAAUGUGUGUUGGCACAUAUAGGAUUGAAAAUUGGAAACAUAAUUUUUUCUAGUAAUAUAAGGGGCACAAUGC
RNAcentral lists this long non-coding RNA (245 nucleotides) under Elaeis guineensis (African oil palm). RNAcentral's name for it is "long non-coding RNA (EGUI_LNC057642)". The record is from RNAcentral. Lineage: Eukaryota; Viridiplantae; Streptophyta; Magnoliopsida; Arecales; Arecaceae.